GAUGAAGAACGCAGCAAAAUGCGAUAAGUAAUGUGAAUUGCAGAAUUCAGUGAAUCAUCGAAUCUUUGAACGCACAUUGCGCCCGCCAGUAUUCUGGCGGGCAUGCCUGUUCGAGCGUCAUUUCAACCCUCAAGCCCUCGGGUUUGGUGUUGGGGAUCGGCGAGCCUUUCUGGCAAGCCGGCCCCGAAAUCUAGUGGCGGUCUCGCUGCAGCCUCCAUUGCGUAGUAGUAAAACCCUCGCAACUGGAACGCGGCGCGGCCAAGCCGUUAAACCCCAAACUUCUGAAUGUUGACCUCGGAUCAGGUAGGAAUACCCGCUGAACUUAAGCAUAUCAAUAAGCGGAGGA
This 346-nucleotide unclassified non-coding RNA is filed under the name soil metagenome. Its description in RNAcentral is "partial contains 5.8S ribosomal RNA, internal transcribed spacer 2, and large subunit ribosomal RNA". The stretch from base 1 to 120 matches the Rfam family "5.8S ribosomal RNA", at positions 35 to 154 of the family's 154-position model. The record is from RNAcentral.